Molecule: ribosomal RNA, 484 nt
Filed under: uncultured bacterium
Lineage: Bacteria
Description: partial 16S ribosomal RNA
Rfam family: Bacterial small subunit ribosomal RNA
Source: RNAcentral
AGUGAACGCUGGCGGCGUGCUUAACACAUGCAAGUCGAACGAGAACGGGUUAUAGCUUGCUAUAAUUGUCAGCUAAGUGGCGCACGGGUGAGUAAUGUAUAGGUAAUAUGCCUCUUACUAAGGGAUAACAAUUGGAAACGAUUGCUAAUACCUUAUACUCCUUAUUAACCUAAGUUAAUAAGGGAAAGAUUUAUUGGUAAGAGAUUAGCCUGUAUUGUAUCAGUUAGUUGGUGGGGUAAUGGCCUACCAAGACUAUGACACAUAACUGGUUUGAGAGGAUGAUCAGUCACACUGGAACUGAGACACGGUCCAGACUCCUACGGGAGGCAGCAGUGGGGAAUAUUGCACAAUGGACGAAAGUCUGAUGCAGCAACGCCGCGUGGAGGAUGACACAUUUCGGUGCGUAAACUCCUUUUAUAUGAGAAGAUAAUGACGGUAUUAUAUGAAUAAGCACCGGCUAACUCCGUGCCAGCAGCCGCAGUAA